UUGUUUGUUUGUGAGGGGGAUUCCUUAGAAGAGAGGAGCUUGCGAAAGGAGCUCUUCUCUAUGCUAGGCUGCUUCCCAGACUGCUGUAAUGGAUGCAAGUGACGCAAUAGGCGUUCCUCACGUCCAUGCUGGCAGUCUGAGCAGAGGCUUUCCACUGGGAGGAGCUAUUUUGCUGAACUCCGGUUUUUGUUUUGUUUUCUUUUGUUUUUUGGAUGAUUGCCGUGGGCUGAAGUGGGCGUCCCAAGGGGUGGAGUGUGCAUGGAUUCAGCACUGCAACACCUUCAGAGGGGAUGCACGCUCCGGGGAGAGAUGCAGACCAACCACUCUGCCGAGAAAUGCUAAGGAAUCCUCCCCAUUGUCUCCUUCCUUGGGACCUUGAAACCAGGAGAGAAUUUCACGGAUCUCUUAGCAAAUCCACCGGUUAGGACACGUGAGAGCUGCAAGGAGAGGGAAGUCUCACAGCCUCAUUCUCCCUUCAGCACUGUGGAGAACAAGGAAGGAUGAACUGCUGACCGUGCAAGGUGCCAAUUAGCUCAGGAUAUCAGGGUUUUCAGUGUUCCCUAAGGAGGCAGUGGGGCAGGGAAUACCAACCUUGAAGAUGUGAACCUGUGGCUUGAUAUAUUGUUCUAUAGCUAAGAUUUUUGUAAACCACUUUGGGAGGUUCACCUGGAAGCAGUGAAUAAAUGCAAAAACAUAAAAUAAAAUAGAAUGAAAUAAAAUAAAACCAGUUUGGUGACAAGGCACUUUAAGGAAUGCUGCCCCCUCCCCCCAUAUGAGGCUCCUUGCCCAUGACGCUCCUCAGAGGAGACCCUUUGACAUGCUCCUUUGACAUGCCCCUUUGACAUGCUCCUUUGACAUGCUCCUUUGACCCUUU
Hemicordylus capensis (graceful crag lizard) is the source of this 874-nucleotide long non-coding RNA. RefSeq lists it as uncharacterized. Lineage: Eukaryota; Metazoa; Chordata; Lepidosauria; Squamata; Cordylidae. The transcript has 3 exons. The record is from RefSeq and is a predicted model, not a curated record.